GAGGAGGAGGAGGAGGACAUGGCAGAGAUAGCCUUUGAAGAGGGCCAUUGAGAAGUCAUUAGGGUAAUGAUAAUUGGCGCGGUGAAUAAGCAAAAGGAGAGAUGGGGGAGGAGAGAGAGAGAGUGUGUGUGUGUGUGUGUGUGUGUGUGGGGGGUUAACAGAUGCAAAUAGGUGAUAUGUUACCAGCUAAUUUGAUUGACAGCCACAUGUUGACUGCUGAUAUGCGUGAACAGAGAUGCAUCUGUGAAGUUUCCAGCGCCUCCGUUUGCUUGUUUGGUGUGUAUGUGAGAAAAAUAGAGAUCUUAUGUGAUAGAAAGAGAGAAGAGAUGGAUAGUGUGUGUGUUGUGUGUGUGUUGUGUGUGUGUGGGGAGCAGUAAAGCCUGUCCCCCGGUGACUGGGCCUGCUUGCUGGGUGACAGAUAGCCCAGGGAGAGAGGGGACACCAGGCUGUUUAGCUGAUAAUUAAGGGGGUUUUAUCUUAAUUUGAGCUGUUACUCUCUAUCCUCUGCUGUGAUUUAUGAGCUGCCGGCCCGGCCCUGCUACCCUGCUCUGCCCCUUAGCAUUGGGAACAAGACAAAGGAACCUCCUCCUCCUCCCUGUGUGUACACACUCACACACAUACCACACACACUCAUACUGAGACAGACACGUCCUCCACUCAGGUAGAAACACCUGCGCAGAAAUACUGCUCUCUGAGGACGAGGGUACUUAAGGGUAUGUAAGCUAUUCAACGGUAACAAUGAGUGCAGUAAAAAAUUAAAGUACCCUGAUUAUAUGACAAAUUUACUCUCCUAUUAAACCUGAGAAUGGUGGAGUUUAAAGAUGAGGGAAAAUGAGGUUUAAAUACAGUUAAAGAGCAGAAAAAUAUAAAACAUUCUGAUUCAUUAAAUGAGGUUCUUACACAAAAUUCCUACACUUCAUUAGUGAUAUAAUUAUUAUAUAAAUUAUAACCAAAUCUUACUGAUAAAAAAAAAAUCUCUAUUUUUCUGAUAAUCAGUGAAACCAAAUUCAGAAUUAUGAGAUUUUCUAAAAUAAAAACGUCUGUCGUGUGUUUUCUGAGUUAAAGUCAGAUUUACUGUUUCAGGAAUAUAGGAAAUAAAGUUUAAUUAAUAAUUAAAACAAAGUGUUACAGACAGAGGCUGGAAUCAUGAUAUUUUAAUACACCAGAGUGAGAUACAGGAGGCCGUUUUUAAUCCCAAAAGAUAAGAUAAUUUACUCCUUUAUUAUUUACAGUUCAUUCUUUCCAGCAAACAGACAGAUGCAUACAGGAUGACAGGAACAGGAGAAGUGUAGGAUCGCCCUUCUCCCGUCUUAGAUGAGAAAAUCAUGUAGAAAUAUUAAAGAGGAAUUAUAAAGUCUGAAAAAAAGGACAAUACCACUUCUUUAUAUAUUUAUAAUGGGUAGGAACUUUUGUCCUGUAAUGAUUUUCCAAGGGAGGAAUUACUGAACGGACCGCAAUCACCGAGGCGCCAAAAAGACAAAGAGCAGAGGCGCGAAAGUUCGUGAUAUUUUCUGAUAUUAUCUGAUAUUAUCUGAUAUUUUGUGAUAUUUGGUGAUAUUAUCUGAUAUUUAAGCGUAAAUGUAACGGACUGGUAAUGUCGGUAGUUAUUAGUAACGGUGGAGUAAACUCAGGUACAGUCAAAGUCAGACUUCAUGAACAUAAAUGUCAAAGUUUCAGAAAUAAUCAAUUUUUUUUUUCCAGAUUAUUGACCAACAGAAAGGAUUAUAAACCGUCUGAUAAUCAUUAUUUCAUUUAUUUUACAUUGAAAGUCCGUCUGAAACCAAACAUUGAGAAUUUACACGGCAGACUAAAGUGACUGUGUCUAAUAUUUUACUCUUUUGUGACUCUAAUUUAAUGUUUUUGUGAUAUUUUAAAGACACUAAGCUGUUGUUGUGGAGGUAGUUUUACAUAUUUGAUCUCUGUACAUUUAUUUACUGUGUUUGUUCUGUUGUGUGAAAACUGUUGUUUGGUUUAUCUAAGUCAUUGCAAUGAGGAGCUGAAAUACGAUGUAAUAUUUUAGACAAAUUUAAAGCAUUAACAACAUAUAUAAUAUUUUAGAGCAAUAACAACAUAUAUAAUAUUUUAGAGCAAUAACAACAUAUGAUAUAAUAUUUUACAGCGUUAACAACACAUGAACUUCUGAAGCCUUGGUCUUAAACCCUAACCUGCCAACACUCGUGUUUUAUUUCCCUGUAUUUCCUCAGACCUCUCUCCUGUCAUUUCUCCCACAGGGAUUCUCCCGUAGUUUGAUGGUUCACGUUCAUUUAUGAAUCGGAUCUCUAUAUUUGUCCAAAGUUGCAAAAAUCUCCCUGAUUUUAUAACCCAAAUGUUGGCAGGUGUGUUUUAGAAGAUCCUCGAUCCUUUCUAAAUCUAGAGCAGUGUGAGUGUUCCCUUAACCUCUGACCUUCUUAACAUUAUGUUUAUCUGUACUGCUGUUUUUAUAUAUUAUAUGCCUUUAUCGUUUUUAUAACUUUUAUUGUUCUUAUUGUUUCUAACUGUAAAGUACUUUAGUAGGCCACUGGCUGUUUUAAAUGGGUGAUAUAAAAAGCUGACAUUGACAUCAAGUUAUUUCUUUUUCUUUAGAUGUUGAUCACGGUUUGUUGCUUCAGCACAUCCUGAAGGAAAUGGUCAUGUUACACACUGUUAUAUCAUUUAGGGUAAGCAGCAGUGUUAUCUUGGAUUUUAAGUGUUGAUUUUAUUAUUUGAAUUUUACUGUGAAACCAUAGACUGAGUCUGUGCCCCCCUGUCGCCCCCGUCACCAGAAUUUCCUUGACCCGCCCCAGGGAGGACAGUGUGAGGACUCAGAACCAGGAGGAGGAGUGACGGUCCGAGGGAGCUACAUCAGUCCUGUGAGUACGCAUCCUUG
Xyrichtys novacula (pearly razorfish) is the source of this 2866-nucleotide non-coding RNA. NCBI's taxonomy places the organism in Eukaryota, Metazoa, Chordata, Actinopteri, Labriformes, Labridae. The record is from the annotation of a GenBank genome assembly.